UACGGAGGGUGCAAGCGUUAAUCGGAAUUACUGGGCGUAAAGCGCGCGUAGGCGGUUUGAUAAGUCGAUUGUGAAAUCCCCGGGCUCAACCUGGGAAUUGCAGUCGAGACUGUCAGACUAGAGUGUGGGAGAGGGUGGUGGAAUUCCCGGUGUAGCGGUGAAAUGCGUAGAUAUCGGGAGGAACAUCAGUGGCGAAGGCGACCGCCUGGCCCAACACUGACGCUGAGGUGCGAAAGCGUGGGUAGCAAACAGG
RNAcentral lists this ribosomal RNA (253 nucleotides) under uncultured bacterium. Its description in RNAcentral is "partial 16S ribosomal RNA". It matches the Rfam family "Bacterial small subunit ribosomal RNA", at positions 524 to 776 of the family's 1533-position model. The record is from RNAcentral.